Molecule: long non-coding RNA, 950 nt
Filed under: Marmota monax (woodchuck)
Lineage: Eukaryota; Metazoa; Chordata; Mammalia; Rodentia; Sciuridae
Source: RNAcentral
GUUUCUUCCCCCUACCAUUGUGGCUGGUGCCACUCUAUACUCAGUGGCAUGUAUGGUGGAUUAGUUCUUUUCAGCAUGUUACUUCUGUAUGAUACUCAAAAAGUAAUCAAGUGUGCAGAAGUAGUACCAGCAUAUGGAUUUCAAAAAUAUGAUCCCAUCAAUUUGAUGUUGGGAAUCUACAUGGAUACACUAAAAAUAUUUAUGUGAAUUACAAGUAUGCUAGCAUCUGGAGGCAACAGAAAGAAGUGAAGUAACAGCUUCUGGCUUCGCUACUGAAUUAGAUGUCUUACUUGUUUAACAGCAGAUAUUUGUCACAUACUUUGUACAAGCAGCUUUCCAUGAAGUUUAGAAGUUAGGAACAUAUGUUAUCAACAUGUUUAAGAUGUUCCAAUAAUGUGAUCCUUCAGGUUUGCUUUUUUUUUUCUAGAGAAUAAACUCAAUAAUUCUCUUCUAAAUAAGCACAUACAUUUCCAAUUCCCAUUUUUAAAAAUACUAUAACAAAAUAUGAAAUCUAAGUUUUGUGUUGUAAGAAUUUUAGCUUUUAAGUUUAUUGGGUUAAAUUUAGCAAACUCAUGUUUGCCUGCAUAUUUGGGGAGAUGCAGAAUGUUGAAAAAUAUGGGUUUUGGUAUAGAGACCAGAGAGAAGUAAAACAUCAUCUGUAGUCUUUUGUUGAAUACUUAAUAUAUCUUAGUUAUGUGAUCAUGAGAAACUAAUAAGAGUCAUCUAGGUAUUUGGAAACAGUUGCUAUUUUCCCAUGUGUCUAUGAAACAGAGGUGAUUAAAUUUGCUCUGCUUCUCAUUGCUGUCUUUACAUUGUGGAUGUAAAGAUUGGCUUUUCAUUGUUUGGGCAGUUCAGAAUGUUAAUCAUAUGGAGAAUUCCUGAUAGAAUUAUGUGAGUUUACUUUUGAAUAUUUUGUUUCAAGAUAAAAUAUUUAUUCAUAACAUUCCACU